Molecule: RNA transcript, 2305 nt
Organism: Musa acuminata AAA Group (dessert banana)
Lineage: Eukaryota; Viridiplantae; Streptophyta; Magnoliopsida; Zingiberales; Musaceae
Gene name: membrane-anchored ubiquitin-fold protein 3-like
Exons: 6
Source: RefSeq, a predicted model, not a curated record
CGAUGCCGUCUUCUUUGGUCAAAGAGAAGCAGCCACCAAAAGCAGAAGCUCUUCCUUCUCCGUCUCCCUCCUCGUCUCCACCCCCGAGCAUCCCUCGCUCUCGAACUCCUAACCGCAACUCUUAUCGUUUAACCUUUGCGAAUCCGUCGCUGGAUCUUGCGAUCGCGUCCCCUUCCCCGGUCCGAUACGUCUCCGGUCUCCGUCUCCGCUUGAAUUUCGCAUAAAGGGAGCAGAUGCCAGAGGAGGAUCUGGUGGAGCUGAGAUUUCGGCUCUAUGAUGGAUCCGACAUCGGUCCCAUCUGCUACUCUUCGUCUUCCACGGUUGCUAUGCUCAAAGAGAGGAUAAUAUCUGAAUGGCCAAGAGAUAAGAAGAUUAUCCCAAAAUUGGCUAAUGACGUCAAACUGAUAAGUGCGGGAAAAAUAUUGGAUAACAGCAAAACAAUCUCUCAGUGCAGACCAAGUUUUGGUGAACUCCCUGGAGGGGUUAUCACUAUGCAUGUUGUUGUGCAGCCGUCGUCUGCUAAAUCUAAAACAGAGAAGAACGUCGACGAGUUGCCAAAGAAAGCCUGUUCCUGUUCCAUAUUGUAGAGCAAUUAGCUUCAUCUAUUAGUUAGUCAGCUACAAUAGUAUUAUAUCCACCUGGGAGGAACAGGAAGAUGGAAGAACACUCAUGGCACAAGUUCUUUUCCUGGAUGAAGAUACCGAUGCUUCCCUCAUUCCAUCUCUGCUGUCGCAGGUUGGUGAGAUGGGAAAAGAGAGAAAGUUCACGAGGCUUUCGACUCCGGAGAUACAGAGAGUGAUGGAGAACUCCUUCUCGGCCGAUCCAUGGAACGCCGCCGGGCAUUGACGGGACAAGCCCGAUCGAGACUCAGCGGUGCCGGCGGCGAAGCCUCGAGUGGUACCCAUUCUCGUCCAGUUUGUCGGAUCCGACGGGACGCCCGCGGAGGCGGCAAGGUCGGUUGCGGCUGCGACGAUCCUGAGGGUCCUCCGAGGCCACCUGAUGCGGAAGAACGUGAGGGUAGUCUCCCGGAUCGAUGCGGCGGUGGGGGAGAUCGAGCGGUGGAUCCGGGAGGAAGAAGAGCAGUUGUAGGCGGACCCGAUGGAGCGGCUGUGGAUGGGUGAGAGAUGCUCAUGGCGUUGCUCCUCCGCCUGGACUCGGUGCGCGGGGUGAGGGAGUACCGCGGAAGAAGGUGAUCCGGAGAGUGAUCUCGCUGCAAGAGUUCCUGGAUUCGUUCCCGGUCCAACUCCAAACCCUAGAUUCAUCAGAGAUCCGUGAUUCUGGUGCCGACGCCAAAGACAACGCGGUUCUUGAACGCCAUGAUCCGGGCUCUACUGCCGACGGAUAAGUUGUCUUCCACGAGAACCAAGAUCCGAUGUUAGCCGUGAAAUGCCAAAGCCCACGAAAGAGGACCGGUCUCCGUUGCUUCUGAUGACAAGUUCGAAACCCUGGACUUCGCGGGGGAAGAAGGCUUCGUGUUGAUCAGCAUGGACGAAGCCAUGGGUACGUCUCCCACGGGAGCAGUCUCUGAAGCAAAAUACGAUGAGGUUAGCUUGGAGAAAUCUGCUGUAUCUGGCGAAGAGAGCAGGGACGAAUCAGGACCGCACAUGGCAAAGGAUCCAACACAAGAAUGGGCCGAACAAGGAGAUGGUCCGAAGGAUGGAUCUAGGAUGGCACAGGUGCUGAAAAAGAUGAUGGCAGAGAAGGAAAGGCUGCAGGAUCUGGUGGCAACACAAUGUGAAGAGAGCGCACAAAUAAGCAGCGCGAUGACAUGGCUGGUCGAGAGGGUCGAGCGCUUGGAGCAGGGGGUAUAGAGCAUGAAAAAGGAGAGUAAGAAAAGGCAUGCUAACUGCGCUCGUGCCUCCCCAAUCAAUAAGAAAGGUGACCCACAGAUAUAGCAGCUACAGAUGGAGUGAAGUCCUCGUACCUUAGAAGGUGGAGAUUGCUAGCUAGCUUAUUUGUCAUUGAACAUUGUAGUUGAACAUUCAUCUUAGUUUAAUGGUCAUGAUGAGGCUUAAACAUGCUGAUUUAAAAAUAAAUAUUUUGUGAAUUUAAGUUUCUUUUUGUUAAUGUAUGUGUUGACAGGAGAUUUCUCCUUUAGUCGCAAAAACAGGUGUCCUCUGAACUGACCUGAGGUGCCGAAUUCAGAUUUUUGUGUUUUGCGUCUACUUUUUUAAACCAAUUUCAAUUUGAUGGACUAUCCUAUCUAAUGUGUCGCUCCAUUGGGAAGAUUCUCCUCUAUGUAUUCAUCAACUGUAACCAAAACUUUGCCAGGAUGAUUUUGAUGCCUUGAUUGAGAGUUUGUUGA